GGCUCUGGCACAGGCCUGCUGCGCAAGAUGAAACAUGGACCUUCUCAAGCGAUCAGGAGAACUUUGCUUUUCUGUUUCAGUCAAGCACUGGUGCUUGCUGGCUAUUCAAGGCUGAAACUUUUGAAUCUGAAAAAGCCAGACCCAUCUGCCAAAUGGCUCCUCUACUUGAUCAGGUUUGCUUUGAUUGUCUCCCCAUUUUCCAAUAAACACUUGAAGAUACCACUGGGCAAUUAUCGAGGCGGUCCCUGGGAACGGUUCCCAGCCGGUCUGAUAGGAGGCACGCUAGACGCAAGGCACUUGCCCUGGAUUGAUCCCAGAUGCAUAGGGCACAUGGAUGGCUGUUCCCAAAAGAGGAUGCAAAGAAACAAGCUAAUGAGGGGCAUGGGAACAGCCUUGUGACUGCAGCGGAAGGUAGCGAUGGGAGACCCAAGUGUUCCAACUGGACUGUGAGAAAUGAAGGCAUGUGUGUGGUUUUGUGAGAGGUGAAGUGAGAAAAUCGAGUACAUGUCUAAAGCUAACAGGCAUCACCGAGCACCCAGUUUUACAGUGAGUGUCACACACAAGUGCCGUGAAUCCCUUCCAAAUUGACCACUUCAUCAUCUGGAUGGUGAAGUCACCCUUGAUCCAGGGAAGGACAGAAGAGUUAGUUUACCUUUGGCAUCUUCUACUCUCCUUUUAUUAAAGGGUUGUAUUGUGUAUUAUUUCCUCUGACUGCUGCACCAUGUACUACCUCUCUGAACCUAGAGAGCGAUCCUACAUUCAUUCCUGUAUCAGCUGCUUACCUUCCCAGCCUGUCUUCAUAUCACCCAAGUGUGUCCUCUCCUUGGCUGUGGCCAGAUGAACCACUAGCUCUGUGGAGGACACAACAGAGCCAGCAGCCCCUCGCACCUUUUAUUGUAAUUGUUUAUUUUAUUUCUUCUUCUUCAGAUGAGCCUGUUCCAAGCCCCAGUAUUAAAAGCCAGCCAUACUCAUGGGAAUCCCCAAGUGUGCAACCCCAGACGUGGUCAGGAUCUCCAGGACGUCAAUACCCACAUCCAUCCCACCUGUUGAGCAGGCUUCACUCCUCUCCCCCUGUGUGGGCUGUGGAGCCCCUGGGACACUCAGGCACAAAGCCUGGCCAAGAGCAGCUAGUUUGUCUGUGCAGUGAGAGCUGCACCAUCCAUACUUGGAACAUGACAGCCUCUUUUCUACUGUCCUGUAUCCUCUGAAUUGUCAGCCUGGCAGCAGAAGUCCUCAGCAAGGCACCUAGGGCAGGAUAAUGCCCUCUCCCUCUCCCUUUGCACAGUGUGUUGAGCUGGAAGGGUUUCAGGAAAGGCCAUAGAAGAUGAGGGUGAGGAAACCUGUCUGCCUUGAGCUUCUGCUGCUGCUGAGCAACAAUCUGGCCAGCCUGAACUAUUAGAUAUGCCCAAGUGCCCAGAAACUUCUGUUCAUGGUACCUAUGGCAUUGCCCUUCAGCUAAACAGUGUGACUUUUGUUUUCCAACAAGCAGAAUAACAAGACAUAUCUCAGACAUCAAAGGGCUUGGGACUUGUGAGUUUGCAGUCUGGAGACUGCUCCAGGUCAGUUUUGCCUCAGUUUCUACCAGCAAGACUGACCUUCAGGAAUCCCAGGUCCCAGAGGCCAGGCUGAAAGGCUGGAGCAAGGAAGAUGUACCUUUGGUGGAAGACCAUCAGGUCAGGGAAUACUUGAGCAACCUGGACAUUUGCAAGUCCAAGGACAGUGAUGGGACACACCCAUGAGUGCUGAGGGAGUUCACAGGUAUGAUUGUGAGGUCACUCUCUAUAAUCUUUGUUCAGUCAUGGCAACUGGGAGAAGUGUUUAAAGACUGGGGGAAAGCAAAUGUCGCUGCUAUCUUCAAGAAGGGCAAGAAAGAGGACCCGGGGAGCUAAGGGCCAGCCAGUCUCACCUCGGAAGGUGAUGGAACAGCUAAUCCUGGAAACCACUGCCAGGCACAUGAAGGAGAAGAAAAUCAUCAGGAGUAGUCAACAUGGAUUUACCACGGGGAAGUCAUGCGUGACCAACCUGAUAAGCUUCUAUAAUGAAAUCACCAGCCCGAUGGAUGAGGGCAGGAGCAGUAGAUAUUUUCUUCCUGGACUUCGGUAAGGCUUUUUACUCUGUCCCCCAUAAGAUCCUCGUAGAGAAGCUGUCAAAGUAUGGGCUGGAUGGGCAGUCAGUGAGGUGGAUUAAAAACUGGCUGAAUGACCAGAUCCAGAGGGUAGUGGUCAGCGGUGCAGUCUAUUCAGAGGCCAGUAACAAGUGAAGCACCCCAGGGGUCGAUGCCGGGUCAAGAAGUCCUGUUUAACAUCUUCAUUAAUGAGCUGGACGAUGGGGUAGAGUGCCCUCUCAGUAAAUUCGUGGAUGACAUUAAACUGGGUGGAGUGGCUGAUUGACCAGAGGGCUGUGCAGCCAUCCAGAGGGACAUUGACACGCUGGAGAGGUGGGCUGACCCAUUCUGAGGUGGGCUUACAAAGUUCAGUGAGGGAAAGUGCAGAGUUCUGCACCUGGGGAGGAGCAACCCCAGGCACCAGGACAUGCUGGGGGUACCCAGCUGGACAGCAACUGCAGAAAAGACCUAGGAGUCCUGGUAGACACCAAGUUGAAAAUGAUUAUCAGAAAUGUGCCCUUGAUGCUAAGAAGGCUAAUGCUGUAUUUGCCUGAAUAAGGCAAAGUAUCACCAGCAGGUCGAGGAAAGAAAUCCUUCCCUUUUACUCAGCAUUGGUGAGGUCUCACCUGGAGUAGUGUGCCCAGUUCUGGGUCCCCAGUAUGAGAGGGACCUGAACAUAGUGGAAAAAAUACAACAGAAGGCCAACAAGAUGAUCAAGGCACUGAAGCACCUGUCUGAGGAGAGGCUGAGAACACUGGGACUGCUCAGCCUGGAGAAGAGGAUGUUCACGUGGGAUCCUGUCAUAUUCCUAUCCAAUAAAUACCUGAAGGGAGGGUGCCAAGAAGAUGGAGCUAGGCUCUUAUCAGUGGUGCCCAGUGCUAGGACAAGAGGCAAUGAGCACAAACUGGAACCCAAGAGUUUCCAUCUAGACAUCAGGAAACACUUCGAUGCUCUGUGGGUGACUGAGCACAGGCUGCCCAGAGAGGCUGUGGGGUCUGCCUCCUUGUAGAUCUUCAAAAGUCACCUGGACGUUGUCCUGGGCAACCUGCUCUAGGUGUCCCUGCUUGAGCAGGGGCUGGACCAGAUGACCUCCAAAGGCUGUGCCCAGCCUGAGCCUCUCUGUGAUUCUGUGGCUAUAUCAUUCUGUCAUACUGUCAUUCUGUCAGUCUGUCCAGCUGUGGCCGUGCCUAUGAGCAGCACAACAGUAUCUGCUAGUCACCCCUGUGGAUCUGAUGUUCUUGAAACAUCUCCCCGAGCUCCAUCCUGCCCCAGUGCAGCACCACCUCCUUCAGACACCCCUCUCUGCCACUCAGGCCCCUGUGUUUAAUUGAGGCAGCACCUGGUUUUAAUAGGAAGUCUGAACAGUAAUUUUUUUUUUUUUAGAUCCUAAAUUGUUUUCAAAGGGCUGGUGCAUCAUUCUCACCCCCCUCCAGCCCAUCCAGUACUGCUCAAGGAGCGACUGGGACAGUCUUUGCAGCCUCCAGAAGAUGGUGCCCUGCUGUUAGGAAACAAUGGUGCAAGCAGCAGUCAUUCCAGUUCACUGGCACAAUGUCACACAAAACGGUUUGUGUCUGUCAGCACAUUCCUGGAAGGUCACAGUGAAUGAUGAAUGCUCCUGUGUAGGAGCUGAAGAGUUUUUUUUUUUCUUUUCUCUUUCUUUUUUUCUUUUUUUUUUUUUUUUCCAUGAAUUGCAUCACUUGGCGGCCUCUUGGCUUCAUUCAUUUGACUCCUGUGGUUACAAACCUUUCCCAAUUGUUGUGAGCCUGCUUCCUCCACAGCCCCUCUGUGGCCAAAGCAGGAUAUUCAUGACUGACUGGCCUGGGGAAGCUGGAUAACUUCCAGCUACUUUCCACAGCAGAGUUGCUCACUUCCCUCCCCCCGAGGUCUGAAAUAUCCUGUGGUUCUGGUUAGCUUUCUCUCCGGAUGCACAUCAGCUAAAGCAUAUGCAUCAUCAUGUGAUACCCAAGGUUGUUUCGGCGCAGCUAAUUGUGACAGAGGCUUUAUUUAGAUGCCAUGUAUAAAAAGAUGAGUAAAGCACUCCAAUGUGAAGCCAGGAGGAUAUUAGACUUGAUCCUGAAUGAAAAGCUGAUUUUCAC
Long non-coding RNA from Cygnus atratus (black swan), 4200 nucleotides. RefSeq lists it as uncharacterized. NCBI's taxonomy places the organism in Eukaryota, Metazoa, Chordata, Aves, Anseriformes, Anatidae. The record is from RefSeq and is a predicted model, not a curated record. The transcript is spliced from 3 exons.